Zea mays is the source of this 122-nucleotide long non-coding RNA. RefSeq lists it as uncharacterized. NCBI's taxonomy places the organism in Eukaryota, Viridiplantae, Streptophyta, Magnoliopsida, Poales, Poaceae. The record is from RefSeq and is a predicted model, not a curated record. The transcript has 2 exons.
UCAAGGGAAUGGUCCAAGGGUGCAUCACUGGAAUAAGCUCGAGACCACAAGUGUCAUAUCUCCUCUAAUCUUUACUCUCUCAGUCUGGUGUCUAUCAGAAGCUACUCCUUUCUACUUAAAAG